ACAGCUGAUUUCCUCCUACAGCAGCCAACUCCUCACCAUUGAUACUUCCCAAUAGAUCCACACUGUUCUUACUUGAAAUUGUUUCCCACCACCGUCACGUGGGGAAGAAGGGUCAGGAGGUCAUUUGACGGCAUAUAAUUGGAGAUGUUUUCUUCGCCCGCCUCGGUACUCGCUUCCUUCACAGGAUUUCGUCAGGCCUGAAAAGUGGUUGUUGACGACACAACACCGCACAACACUGCAAUUUCCAAGUGUAUACACUCACAGCAAAGGACAAAGACUCACCCACUGCACUCCACACACUCCUGGUGAAUUUAGGGUCAAAACCCCGUCUGACCAAAGACUCGUCCUGGAAGUCGUGAAGACACUGAUGCCACGAAUAUUCAGAUUUAUACGUUGCCGCCACAACAACCCAACAUCCUCUCGCUCACUGGUCCCGGCUCACCCACAAUCCUCCUCCCCACUCCUGGAUACUUCUCCUGCUGCCACGUGCCCUGUCGAAAAGGCCUCCUUCGGCGAUACUUCCGG
Long non-coding RNA from Cyprinus carpio carpio, 525 nucleotides. The record is from Ensembl. NCBI's taxonomy places the organism in Eukaryota, Metazoa, Chordata, Actinopteri, Cypriniformes, Cyprinidae.